This 467-nucleotide long non-coding RNA is filed under the name Taeniopygia guttata (zebra finch). Its description in RNAcentral is "lncRNA (ENSTGUG00000027261.1)". The record is from RNAcentral. Lineage: Eukaryota; Metazoa; Chordata; Aves; Passeriformes; Estrildidae.
GUGAUGCAGAGAGAAAAGUGUGUGGCCAAGAAGAAAAACACCGUGUAUAUCAAAACAUAAAUGAAAAAAAAUCUCGAGAAUGGGAAAUGCUGAAGAUAAAGAGAAAGAACCCAAGAGAAUAAAAGCAAAGAUAAUAAACAGCCACAGCCAGACUCAGAUGUUCUCUGUCCCAUUAGAGAUGACUUUACCAACAUGUAUUACCUCACUGUAAAGCUCACAUUCCUGAAGCCCUGCAAGCUCUUCAGUCUUAGAAAAUCCAUCUCAUAAUGCCAAAACAGGCUGAUGGGAAACCUUUUCUGCUCUUUGUCCUUUGGAAUACAGAGAAAACCAAUGAGAGCCCCAAAAUGGCUUUUUUUUGCACCUGCCUGCUGACUCUCCAUCUCUUUCAGCUGUGCUUUCUGCUAUCAAAAUAUGAUCCUAGGAUCUGUGGUCUUGCAAAAUGCUCGGGUGGGUACCAAUUUAUAUAG